Molecule: ribosomal RNA, 458 nt
Filed under: uncultured bacterium
Lineage: Bacteria
Description: partial 16S ribosomal RNA
Rfam family: Bacterial small subunit ribosomal RNA
Source: RNAcentral
CCUACGGGAGGCAGCAGUGAGGAAUAUUGGUCAAUGGGCGAGAGCCUGAACCAGCCAAGUCGCGUGAGGGAGUACUGCCCUAUGGGUUGUAAACCUCUUUUGUCGGGGAGCAAAAGCCGGACGUGUCCGGCUGUGAGAGUACCCGAAGAAAAAGCAUCGGCUAACUCCGUGCCAGCAGCCGCGGUAAUACGGAGGAUGCGAGCGUUAUCCGGAUUUAUUGGGGUUAAAGGGUGCGCAGGCGGAUUUUUAAGUCAGCGGUCAAAUCGUGGGGCUCAACCCCAUCCAGCCGGUGAAACUGGGGAUCUAGAGUGUGCGAGAGGUAUGCGGAAUGCGUGGUGGAGCGGUGAAAUGCAUAGAUAUCACGCAGAACCCCGAUUGCGAAGGCAGCAUACCGGUGCACAACUGACGCUCAGGCACGAAAGCGUGGGUAUCGAACAGGAUUAGAUACCCUUGUAGUC